UGCUGGCCUGGCUCGUUGGCAGGGCAGGCAGACUUUGUUGUGGUUCUGGGAGCAGCUGGCCUGGCAGGCUGACCUGGCCUUGCUCACAAAGAGGCCCACUCCUGGGGGACCCGUGUUCACCACCACUGGUUCCUGGCGCUUCCUCAGAUCGGAGGCCUGCUUAGGGCCAGACCGCUGCACUGGUAGGAACCCCAGGCUUGGCAAAAAAGUAGCCUAGCUGGGCCGGUGGCCACUGGCCUCUGGAAAGUGGAGGGGCCUGAGCAGGGCCUUGGUUUCCUAGUCUAUAAAAUGGGAAUGGCCGCCCAGAAAAGAAAGGCGGUCAUCCAUUGUCCCCGGGGAUUCCCACAGUGGAAGAUGCACCCACAGAAGAGAACAAUGAAGAUGGACAGAUACGUUUCCAAGGAGACCAGGUCUAAGCCUCACUGUGCUGCAAGGAGCUGGGAUGGUGCCGCCUGGGAAAGGGAGAAAAGGACUCCAGGUCACUGGCGCCUUCUGUUCCCACAGAACCUGACCCCUUGGCAUUUUCAGAGUGGAACUGAAGCCCCCAAUCUUCCUGCCGGGAGUGCGUGGGUCCCAGCCCAGUGGAGACUUCACACGGGUUCAUUAAACUCCCAAAUAACAGGCUC
Mesocricetus auratus (golden hamster) is the source of this 626-nucleotide long non-coding RNA. RefSeq lists it as uncharacterized. The transcript is spliced from 2 exons. The record is from RefSeq and is a predicted model, not a curated record. Lineage: Eukaryota; Metazoa; Chordata; Mammalia; Rodentia; Cricetidae.